GUCUUUUAAAAGGUAACUUUUUAUUGACUGCUUUACUUUGAAACAUAUAAGAACUGGAUUUACAUUUUAAGAAUCUUUUUUUUUUCAUACAAAAGGUUUUAUGGGAAACCACAUCAGAGUUCAGUUAUUUACAUCUGCCAGAGUUCCGGUUUUGAACAGUGCACUAAUAUAGUGUCACAGUUGCAAUCUCUCUCUCUAUACACACACAUAUAUAUGUGAUUUCUGAGUCAUCUUUUCAUUUGAAGUCAUUUUGUAUCCCUCUUAUAUCUCAAGGUAAUGCCCAUAAUCAUUUUUAAUAGUUGUUUAUUAUGACAUCAUUGAUGUUCCAUAUAAUUUGCUUCAUCAUUCCC
RNAcentral lists this long non-coding RNA (350 nucleotides) under Bos taurus (domestic cattle). RNAcentral's name for it is "long non-coding RNA NONBTAT009012". The record is from RNAcentral. Lineage: Eukaryota; Metazoa; Chordata; Mammalia; Artiodactyla; Bovidae.